Molecule: ribosomal RNA, 253 nt
Filed under: uncultured bacterium
Lineage: Bacteria
Description: partial 16S ribosomal RNA
Rfam family: Bacterial small subunit ribosomal RNA
Source: RNAcentral
UACGGGGGGGGCAAGCGUUGUUCGGAAUUACUGGGCGUAAAGGGCGCGCAGGCGGCUACAUUUGUCAGGCGUGAAAGCCCCGGGCUUAACCUGGGAACUGCGUUUGAUACGGUGUGGCUAGAGUUCGGGAGAGGAGAGUGGAAUUUACGGUGUAGCAGUGAAAUGCGUAGAUAUCGUAAGGAAGACCAGUGGCGAAGGCGAGUCUCUGGACAGCAACUGACGCUGAGGCACGAAGGCCAGGGGAGCAAACGGG